This 434-nucleotide ribosomal RNA is filed under the name uncultured Lachnospiraceae bacterium. Its description in RNAcentral is "partial 16S ribosomal RNA". It matches the Rfam family "Bacterial small subunit ribosomal RNA", at positions 341 to 792 of the family's 1533-position model. The record is from RNAcentral. Lineage: Bacteria; Bacillati; Bacillota; Clostridia; Lachnospirales; Lachnospiraceae.
ACGGGAGGCAGCAGUGGGGAAUAUUGGACAAUGGGGGAAACCCUGAUCCAGCGACGCCGCGUGAGUGAAGAAGUAUUUCGGUAUGUAAAGCUCUAUCAGCAGGGAAGAUGAUGACGGUACCUGACUAAGAAGCCCCGGCUAACUACGUGCCGGCAGCCGCGGUAAUACGUAUGGGGCAAGCGUUAUCCGGAUUUACUGGGUGUAAAGGGAGCGUAGGCGGCCAGACAAGUCAGAUGUGAAAACCCUGGGCUUAACCCGGGACCUGCAUUUGAAACUGUAGGGCUAGAGUACUGGAGAGGCAAGUGGAAUUCCUAGUGUAGCGGUGAAAUGCGUAGAUAUUAGGAAGAACACCAGUGGCGAAGGCGACUUGCUGGACAGAGACUGACGCUGAGGCUCGAAAGCGUGGGGAGCAAACAGGAUUAGAUACCCUGGUA